RNAcentral lists this ribosomal RNA (389 nucleotides) under uncultured bacterium. RNAcentral describes it as "bacterial SSU rRNA". It matches the Rfam family "Bacterial small subunit ribosomal RNA", at positions 30 to 423 of the family's 1533-position model. The record is from RNAcentral.
AUUGAACGCUGGCGGCAUGCCUUACACAUGCAAGUCGAACGGUAACGGGCCUUCGGGUGCCGACGAGUGGCGAACGGGUGAGUAAUGCAUCGGAACGUACCUUUCAGUGGGGGAUAACGUAGCGAAAGUUACGCUAAUACCGCAUAUUCUGUGAGCAGGAAAGCAGGGGAUCGCAAGACCUUGCGCUGAUUGAGCGGCCGAUGUCAGAUUAGCUAGUUGGUGAGGUAAAGGCUCACCAAGGCGACGAUCUGUAGCGGGUCUGAGAGGAUGAUCCGCCACACUGGAACUGAGACACGGUCCAGACUCCUACGGGAGGCAGCAGUGGGGAAUUUUGGACAAUGGGGGCAACCCUGAUCCAGCCAUGCCGCGUGAGUGAAGAAGGCCUCGGU